CGUGCUCCAGUGGCAACGGGCACUCUCUUAGCUGGGAAUCAUUUCAGUUGGCUUUCAGUUGUUUAAUCGUUUGGUUGUGUCGCCAGCCGUCGCCACGACAACGACGCUUCAGGUUUCCACGAUUGUGUUGCCAAUUAAAGAAGACAAUGAAACCCGCCCGAACAGCUUGAAUUGGAUAUUUUGAGCUUUAUUUUGGAUGUGGUUGCAAGCGAAUCAAAAGUGCAACGUUGUGUGACCGAAGUACGAAAAGCAAAUUGAAAGCGAAAACAAAUAUAAGUCAAAAUGGCUCAGGUUGUGGCUGGGCAUGAAACUGAGCAACCCGUUAAGAAUGCAUGGCAGAUGAAAGCCAUGGAUGCCAAUCGGUAUGCGACAAAGAAGACGAUCGCCCAGGGCAUGCUGGAUAUAGCACUGCUAACUGCCAAUGCCUCCCAGUUGAAGUACAUCCUGCAGGUGGGGGAACAGCAUCAGUUUUACAAGCUGAUGCUGAUACUGAUCAGUCUGUCGAUCGUGAUGCAGCUUUUGGUUGGAAUUCUGUUUGUGGCCAUCGGCGGUCUCAACAUUAACCGGCAGAAAGAUCAGACGGCGGCGAUCAUCUUGAACGAUAUCAUCUUGGUGGUGAUAUUCGUGAUAUCCGUUCUGAAUGUAAUCAUUUCUGGGUUUGGCAUUGAGUACUCGUCACAGCCGCUCAGACUCCUCGAUCCGCAUGCAAAGACACCCUAGAACUAAGAAAUAUCCAACGAUUUACAUUCCUGUAACAUUAUCAUAAGGCUAACUAACCAUGUACUCUGUGGCAGCUGGGAUUUUGCUAGUCAUUCAAUCGCUUAUCAGCAUUCACAAUGCAAAGGAUCGUUCCAUUGGGUACACCAU
Drosophila obscura is the source of this 867-nucleotide RNA transcript. It is a transcript of the gene named ninjurin-1, with no coding region annotated. The transcript is spliced from 5 exons. Lineage: Eukaryota; Metazoa; Arthropoda; Insecta; Diptera; Drosophilidae. The record is from RefSeq and is a predicted model, not a curated record.